This is an RNA transcript of Cucurbita moschata (crookneck pumpkin), 505 nucleotides long. It is a transcript of the gene named 60S ribosomal protein L29-1, with no coding region annotated. The record is from RefSeq and is a predicted model, not a curated record. NCBI's taxonomy places the organism in Eukaryota, Viridiplantae, Streptophyta, Magnoliopsida, Cucurbitales, Cucurbitaceae. The transcript is spliced from 4 exons.
CACUAAAAUAGGUCAAUAUUUUCUUUGCGUACGAUUAUCUGAGCGGAGGCGAAGGAAACCCUAGGAUUUGCAGCCACCGCAGAGUUCAAGAGAUGGCCAAGUCGAAGAAUCACACGGCACACAAUCAGUCCCGCAAAGCCCAUAGGAAUGGCAUCAAGAAACCAAGGAAGCACCGCCACACCUCCACCAAAGGAAUGGACCCGAAGUUUCUUAGGAACCAGAGGUACGCGAAGAAACACAACAACAAGAGUGGCGAAACAGCUUCUGAGGAAUAGUAAAGUAGAACGCCAAGAUGCGGCAAGUUCAGGGUUUUUAUGAUAUAAGUUUGAUUUUCUAUUGAACCUCUUGUUUAUCUGUUGUUUUUGUUUAGUAGCAGUCUUGUAAUUUUGACUUUGUUGUAGCGAGCUCCAUUUUGAUGAGGCUUCUACGGCCUGGUUACGACAACACACUAUCAGUUUUUCUUUUUUUUUAAGGUCUUGACUAUUGCUUACAUCUUCAUACACAA